This is a long non-coding RNA of Wyeomyia smithii (pitcher-plant mosquito), 1248 nucleotides long. RefSeq lists it as uncharacterized. The record is from RefSeq and is a predicted model, not a curated record. The transcript has 3 exons. NCBI's taxonomy places the organism in Eukaryota, Metazoa, Arthropoda, Insecta, Diptera, Culicidae.
GUAGGCGGUUUUCACGUUAAAAUGUUUCAAUUUAAUUUCUUUCCUACUUGCCAAAGCCGACAAAAACCGAAAAGUCGUGUGCGUGGUUACCGGUGCAAACACCUCGUCGUAAUCUUCCCCAUAGAUCUGCGAGAAACCCUGCGCUACCAGCCGUGCCUUAUAUUUGGUUACCUCACCUAAAGCAUUGUGUUUCAACUUAUAAACCCAACGGCAACCAACAGGCUUUCGGCCCUCAGUUCCGGCUACGAAGAUCUCUUCUAUCAACCUACUUGCCGGAAUGCCCUUCGUAGAGUGUCGAGAGCGCCUGGCUAUUUCAUCAAGAGGAUAGCUCUAAAAUGAAGAAUCAUUAUCAGAAGCACUUGCAUAGGGCAGCACAUCCGAAUUUUCAGAAUCUUCCAACUCAUUAUCCACAUUCGAAAUCGCAGUAUCUUCUAAAUCCAACUCAAUCGAGGGUGAAAGGUUGCAGCAGACUGCUCAGGUACGGUUUCCUUCACAAGGCACUGUUCAAAGUUUUCGCAUCUCUACCGAUGAUGAUGAGUCCCGACUGCACAUUCAAGAAGCGAUAUGCUUUUCGCCCCUCUGCGUAGCCCACAAAAACUAGCUUCUCUGACUUGCGAUCCAGAGCUUUGCGUUUUUCCUUCGGAACAUCGUACACACUUCCGAUGACGGGCAGCGAAUUUGGAAAUAGUUUGCCGUAUUGAUAGCCUCCCCCCAGAACUUUUUCUUCAAGUCCGAGUCAGCAUUAUCUCUUUUAGAUAACGGUUUUCCGCUCAGCUACACUGUUUUGUUGCGGUGAAUACGGUGCCGUCUUUUGAUGCUCAAUACCACAAUCUGCGAAAAACUUUUUCAUAACUCGACAAGAAUACUCACCAACCCCAUCCGACCGGAUGCACUUGGGACAGUGACCAAAAUGGUUUUUAACCAUGUUACAGUAUUCACGCAUCUUUUCUUCGGAAUCUGAUUUGCGCUGCAGCAAAUAAAUCACCGAAUAUCGACUAAAAUCAAACAGUACAGAGAGUCCGAGGUCUGCAAUCUUGCUCACCGAAAGUAGAUUACUCGCGAGAGAUGGCACAUUAAAAACAUUUUCUAAACCUAAUUUCAAUUGAGCACCUUUGCCGUUAACGCAAGAAAUUUUACUGGAACCAGCUUCAACUGAUUUCACAUUAUUCCCAUCGGCCAAACAAAUGAUCGCCUCUCUAGAACGGUCAAGCUCACCAAGAAUGGAUUUAUCGUUGGUCAUGUGGGAAG